Molecule: ribosomal RNA, 309 nt
Filed under: uncultured eukaryote
Lineage: Eukaryota
Description: partial 18S ribosomal RNA
Rfam family: Eukaryotic small subunit ribosomal RNA
Source: RNAcentral
CCCUUAGAUGUUCUGGGCGGCCCGCGCACUACACUGGCACUCUCAAUCAGAGCCUGGGUCUAACACUUUGGGGUAUUCUAUGAAGUGGUGUCGUGACUGGGAUUAACCCUUGCAAUUAUUGGUUACGAACGAGGAAUUCCUUGUAAUCGCGGUUUAUCAGCCCGCGUUGAAUGCGUCCCUGCCCUUUGUACACACCGCCCGUCGCUCCUACCGAUGGAUCGUCCGGUGAAGCUCAUGGAGGGGCGGUUGUCUCAGCUGCCGUCGAAGUGAAAUGGACCUCACGAUCUAGAGGAAGGAGAAGUCGUAACA